GCAUGUGGUUUAAUUCGAAGCAACGCGAAGAACCUUACCAAAUCUUGACAUCCUUGACAACUCUAGAGAUAGAGCCUUCCCUUCGGACAAGACAGGUGGUGCAUGGUUGUCGUCAGCUCGUGUCGUGAGAUGUUGGGUUAAGUCCCGCAACGAGCGCAACCCUUAAGCUUAGUUGCCAGCAUUAAGUUGGGCACUCUAAGUUGACUGCCGGUGACAAACCGGAGGAAGGUGGGGAUGACGUCAAAUCAUCAUGCCCCUUAUGAUUUGGGCUACACACGUGCUACAAUGGACAAUACAAAGGGCAAAUCCCAUAAAGUUGUUCUCAGUUCGGAUUGUAGUCUGCAACUCGACUACAUGAAGCUGGAAUCGCUAGUAAUCGUAGAUCAGCAUGCUACGGUGAAUACGUUCCCGGGUCUUGUACACACCGCCCGUCACACCACGAGAGUUUGUAACACCCGAAGCCGGUGGAGUAACC
This 475-nucleotide ribosomal RNA is filed under the name Staphylococcus cohnii. RNAcentral's name for it is "bacterial SSU rRNA". It matches the Rfam family "Bacterial small subunit ribosomal RNA", at positions 937 to 1440 of the family's 1533-position model. Lineage: Bacteria; Bacillati; Bacillota; Bacilli; Caryophanales; Staphylococcaceae. The record is from RNAcentral.